GAUGAACGCUAGCGGGAGGCCUAACACAUGCAAGCCGAGCGGCAUUGUUUCUUCGGAAAUGAGAGAGCGGCGUACGGGUGCGUAACACGUGUGCAACCUGCCUUUAUCUGGGGGAUAGCCUUUCGAAAGGAAGAUUAAUACUCCAUAGUCUAUUUAACGGCAUCGUUUAAUAUUGAAAGCUCGGGCGGAUAGAGAUGGGCACGCGCAAGAUUAGCUAGUUGGUGGGGUAACGGCUCACCAAGGCGAUGAUCUUUAGGGGGCCUGAGAGGGUGAUCCCCCACACUGGUACUGAGACACGGACCAGACUCCUACGGGAGGCAGCAGUGAGGAAUAGUGGUCAAUGGGUGCAAGCCUGAACCAGCCAUCCCGCGUGAAGGACGACUGCCCUAUGGGCUGUAAACUUCUUUUGUAUAGGGAUAAACCUACCCUCGUGAGGGUAGCUGAAGGUACUAUACGAAUAAGCACCGGCUAACUCCGUGCCAGCAGCCGCCGUAA
RNAcentral lists this ribosomal RNA (495 nucleotides) under uncultured bacterium. RNAcentral's name for it is "partial 16S ribosomal RNA". It matches the Rfam family "Bacterial small subunit ribosomal RNA", at positions 28 to 523 of the family's 1533-position model. The record is from RNAcentral.